GGCUGCAGCAUAUCAGGAGCUGGUCCAAUACGGACUAAUGAAAACUCCAGGGAACAAAACUAGACAUGCAGAAUAUUCCUCACAAGUCCACGAGGAACAACUGGAAUUGAAUUAUGUUCCACAGAUUUGAUUUCUUGUGUUUAUGAUGCAAGUCUGCAGUAAGGAAUUUAUUUCUGGAUUUUUCUCUGGUUGAUAUAAAUUUCAUGCUUGGCAAAGUGCAAGGUUUAGGUUGAGAUGUGAUCUUCACUGACCGCUGAGCAUCAUGCUGAUGAUCUAAUGGGGAAGAAUCGAGAGGCAUUCUUCCUUCUGCCCUGAACCCCGGGAGAGAUGCACACAUGGACCUCAAACUGUUCUGGAACUUGAGCUGAAAGAGCAGCUUCAUGGUAUAAAGUUGGUGCUCUCCUAUGAGAUGACAAACUCCUGCAUGUGUAUACACUGAGGUGGCUGCUCCUGUGUUGACCUCAGGGAACGUGGCACAGCAUGCUCCAGCACAGACAUGUCCAGGAGUUCUGUGUUGGUCCUCACACUCUCAAAGAGGCCCUGAUAUCCAGCAACGCUUCCCUGAGGGAUCUUUACACCUGCACAUAUUCCUGCGCUGAGAGGCACUUCUUUUCUGAGGCGUACAACCCCAACAGAGUGCUGUUUCAGACUCUGCUGAUAAGGACACCGUUUGAUUGGAUUGUCAGCCGUCCCGAAGAGCCUCAGGACUUUGAGAGUUUCUACAACUCUACUCGACGGCACCAGUGUAACUCCCGUAGGAAGAAGAUAUAUCUGCAGCCUAUAGAUAUGGAUAUACCAAAGCAGGGUGCUGGGAUUUUAUUCUUGGAUGACCUUAAAUCUUACCUUGAGGCCUUCUUUCUGGGCCUCCCUGUGAUAUCUCUUCCAUGCAUAUCCACAUCUUCCAUGAAGUGCAACUUUCGACAGCAAGAACACUCCUGCAAUGUUCAGCUUCACACAGAUGCCAUCCUGAGACACCUUCAGCGAGUAAAGCCCAUUGAUGCAUUCUGCAUCCUUGGGCUUACCUUCAUUGACCUCUACGCUUGUGACACUUGGAACUAUACAUUUGGAAAAUCAGCCAAUAAACUAGGAGUGGGGGUGUGCAGCUUCUCCCGGCUCUUAGGGAAGCUCUCAGCACAGGCUUCUGGGAUGGCUGAGCAGGCUGAGUUGGGGAUGGUGGGGGCUGGUGGCAGACAUGACAGGCAGGCUUGGCCUGCACAGCCCCACACUUUCACUCUCACUACCACUGAACUGCUGCAGUGCUGCAAGGUUGCCAGUCACGAGGUAUGUCACUUAGUGGGGCUGCAGAACUGCCGCUGGCUGAGCUGCGUCAUGCAAGGAGUGAGCAGCCCUGAGGAGUCACUUCUCAGGCCCAUGGACCUCUGCCCCAUCUGCCUACGGAAGCUACACUACACACUGGGCUUCAGCCUGCUGCAGAGAUACAGAAAACUCCAGGCAUGGUGUCAUCGUGUUGCCUUCACUUGGACCCCGAGAGAAAGGACCAGGCAUGCUUCUACAGAGACUGACAUCUGCCGUUUCAGCUCUGACACAGGAAUAGCCUGUGAGGGGACAUCCCAGCCUGCGUCAGCCACCCUGGGGCUUAUCAGCCCAGAGGUGUCAGUCCCCCGUGACAGGCCUCAUGGUGGAGGAUCAGGCACUCCUGCUGUUCCUGUCAGGACCCAAGGCGAGGAGGGCCUGGCAGCCGUGUGCAGGGUGGAGCUCUGCGCUGACCUCCUGGGGGACUACGAGGCCUGGCUGGACUCCUGCACGAGAGCUCUACAGGUGGAGGUGACCGAGGACGAACUCUCUCAUCUGGACUGUAUGGUGGACGCCAUUACGGCUCUAAGAGUGGAUCCGGCCCGGGUGUCCUCGCCCAGGGUCUCUGUGCAGCUGCCCAGAGCGGAGCGGAACCUGAGGAGGGCUGUCGGACAGACGUUUGCCUGGCUGCUGAGGAAGCUGAGAUUGAGACGACUGAGGAUGGAUCACUCGCGUGAUGACAGCGAAGACUGACAGCCUGACGGAUAGCCCUGACGGAUGGUGUCCUUGACGGCGUGGAAAACGAAGCGGAUGUUCUCAGUGUCGAUGGCGGUGGUGAAGUGGUGGAAGAGGGGCUUGCUGCGGUUCCUCCUCUUGCGGUUGAAGCACUGCACCAGCAGGUCCAUCUUGUUGAGGAAGAGGAUGAUGGAGACGUUGGAGAAGAGCUUGUUGUUGACGAUGGUCUCGAAGAUGUUCAUGGACUCCACCAGGCGGUUGGUGCGCCGGUCCUCCAUCAGGACCUGGUCGUACUCGCUGGACGACACCAUGAAGAGGAUGGAGGUGAUGCCGUCGAAGCACUGGAACCACUUCUGCCGCUGGGAUCGCUGGCCACCCACGUCCACCAUCUUGAAGGGGAUUUUUUUGAUGAUGAAGUCAUGCUCCACAAUCCCCUUUGUGGCCUUCCUGGCCAGCAGGAUGUCCUGUCUGCUCGGCAGGUAGCUCUGAAAGACGAAGGGAAGUGGAAACAAAUAUAAGUCCUGGAUCUCAAAGAGCUUCGGCUGAGAUUUCCAACAUUUCAGUUCAAGGAUAUUUCCUGCAAAUCCAUGGCUGCUGCAGUGGAACAAUAAAACUAAAACACUGUUAUGUUCAUUUAUGAUUUAUGUGCUGUCCUGCAAAGAAAUAGUUAUGAUGAAUGGCUAAUUAGCUGGACCUUCAGGGGCCAGAUUACAUAGAUAAAGGUGUCUACCAGAUCUUCCAGAUCAACUAAGAGGAGAAAUUCUUAAUUCCCCAUGAAAAGGGUUGAUUCAUGAAGUUACCAAUACUGAUUGUGUAAUACAAUUUCACAGAACUAUAUUACAUACAGGUUUAAAUAAGCCAAUAACAAGACAAGAAGAGUAAUACAUUGCCCUGUAUAACUCACCAAUUGCCCAAUACGGUCCAGGUUGUCUAAGAAAUACUUCACCGAUUCACCCUGUGGGUAUAAAAAAACAUUACUUUGGAAGCAGUUAAAAUGAUUAACCGUGAGUCAUACGUGUCCUUAACACUUGGGUCCUUGACAUUUAAACAGGAUGCAGGAUUACUUUGUCUCAUUAAGGGAUGAUGUUGUUUAAAAAAUUGCACAACUGACAGAGCCUAGACUGUGCCCCGUGUAUGAAUAAUGGUGCUUAUGAAAAUGCACUACUCAGUGCUAAAGAGUUGUUGGGUGGUGAAUCCAGCUAAAGCACUCAUUGUUAAGUGUAGUGUCAGUACUGUAUGUGAUGGGACACAGAAUUUCACAGGGAGGUUUUCUAUCGGUCCUACAGCGGUAGUAAAAUGGCUGCAAAGCAAAGCUGGUGGAGUGCAGAGUGAAGAACUGCCAGGUGACAUACAUUUCAGAAGAGCCGCCACACUAGUUCUUUGCUCUCCCAAUUUGUUUGAGGGUGUUGCCGCAGUUGGCCUACGAAUUGGGGGACUGAAAGAAUUAAAUCACAUUUCAUAGUAAAAGAUCCCUAUAUGGGAAUUUACAAAA
RNA transcript from Conger conger (European conger), 3481 nucleotides. It is a transcript of the gene named archaemetzincin-1-like, with no coding region annotated. NCBI's taxonomy places the organism in Eukaryota, Metazoa, Chordata, Actinopteri, Anguilliformes, Congridae. The record is from RefSeq and is a predicted model, not a curated record. The transcript is spliced from 8 exons.